RNAcentral lists this ribosomal RNA (515 nucleotides) under uncultured bacterium. RNAcentral describes it as "partial 16S ribosomal RNA". It matches the Rfam family "Bacterial small subunit ribosomal RNA", at positions 28 to 523 of the family's 1533-position model. The record is from RNAcentral.
GAUGAACGCUGGCGGCGUGCCUAAUACAUGCAAGUCGAGCGAAUGGAUUAAGAGCUUGCUCUUAUGAAGUCAGCGGCGGACGGGUGAGUAACACGUGGGUAACCUGCCCAUAAGACUGGGAUAACUCCGGGAAACCGGGGCUAAUACCGGAUAACAUUUUGAACCGCAUGGUUCGAAAUUGAAAGGCGGCUUCGGCUGUCGCUUAUGGAUGGACCCGCGUCGCAUUAGCUAGUUGGUGAGGUAACGGCUCACCAAGGCAACGAUGCGUAGCCGACCUGAGAGGGUGAUCGGCCACACUGGGACUGAGACACGGCCCAGACUCCUACGGGAGGCAGCAGUAGGGAAUCUUCCGCAAUGGACGAAAGUCUGACGGAGCAACGCCGCGUGAGUGAUGAAGGCUUUCGGGUCGUAAAACUCUGUUGUUAGGGAAGAACAAGUGCUAGUUGAAUAAGCUGACACCUUGACGGUACCUAACCAGAAAGCCACGGCUAACUACGUGCCAGCCGCCGCCGUAA